GGAAUUUCUCUUAUAAACGUUCUAAUUUUAAAAAUAAUGUGGAAUUAUUCACUUAUUUAUUGAUUCUUUCAUUUAUAAUUUAUUUCAAAAAUAUCUGUUAGUGGGCUGGGGAUUUAGCUCAGUGGUUCCAGUGCCUGCCUCAGCAAUGCAAGGACCUAAGUUCGAUCCCCAGUACCGGAAAAAAAAAAAAAAAUCUGUUAGACCUCAGGCAUUAUGAUGAUACAGUACCAUAGAAUUCUCCGUAUCUGUCUGUUGAGAAUUGGAACUUGUAUUAAUAUCCCCUCCAUCCAGUGUAUCAAGUUUGAUAAGGUUUGUGUGUUCCAGUUUUUGCAUCCUGUGAUUGGCAGCUUUUGUGCUAGGUACCCACUCUGA
RNAcentral lists this long non-coding RNA (372 nucleotides) under Fukomys damarensis (Damara mole-rat). RNAcentral describes it as "lncRNA (ENSFDAG00000032201.1)". The record is from RNAcentral. Lineage: Eukaryota; Metazoa; Chordata; Mammalia; Rodentia; Bathyergidae.